AGAACAAGACAUCAUCGUCGUCAUCAUCAGCCGAGAAAGCAGACGACAAGAACCAGAACAAGACAUCGUCAGCCGAGAAGACAGACGACGAGAGACAGAACAAGACAUCGUCAGCCGGGAAGACAGGCGACGAGAGACAGGACAAGACAUCAACGUCAGCCGACGACACGGACGAAAAGAGCCGUGAGUGUCUCAGCCGCUCUACAUUACAACAACAGCAACAACAAGUGGUGACCCAUCCUCCUGUGUCACUGGAACUGUUGGGGGAUGACCAUGGACCCGAUGUGUGGUUUGAUGUCCUUCCCCCACACACACCUGCGAUCAGCGUGACUUGGCUACAUGCGGUGGUGGUUCUGAAGAAGUUCCACAUAC
Molecule: non-coding RNA, 372 nt
Organism: Petromyzon marinus (sea lamprey)
Lineage: Eukaryota; Metazoa; Chordata; Hyperoartia; Petromyzontiformes; Petromyzontidae
Source: RefSeq, a predicted model, not a curated record